AAGAAGACCGUAUUCUGAGAGAUACUAAUCGAAAUACAGACGACUCCAGGACAAUAUCGGACAAGCUGGUAACAAGUUUUGGUAAGGAAGAUGGCAUUCAUCGUAUUCUGUAUUGUGGUCACUAUGGCAACAUUCGGCUUGGACGUUGACGCAGUUUGCACCAAUAAAGUAACAAUAAGCCACUUUGCUCUGCUUGACCAAGCCACUGGAAAUGUCCUUCAAUCGCUUCCGAUAAAA
Long non-coding RNA from Actinia tenebrosa (Australian red waratah sea anemone), 237 nucleotides. NCBI's taxonomy places the organism in Eukaryota, Metazoa, Cnidaria, Anthozoa, Actiniaria, Actiniidae. The record is from RefSeq and is a predicted model, not a curated record.